Molecule: ribosomal RNA, 473 nt
Filed under: uncultured bacterium
Lineage: Bacteria
Description: bacterial SSU rRNA
Rfam family: Bacterial small subunit ribosomal RNA
Source: RNAcentral
CGGACACGCUGGCGGCGUGCCUAACACAUGCAAGUCGAACGGAGAUGAUGGGAUAGCUUGCUAUUUAAUCAUCUUAGUGGCGGACGGGUGAGUAACACGUGGGCAACCUGCCCCAAAGAGGGGGAUAACACCGAGAAAUCGGUGCUAAUACCGCAUAAUAUUAGAGCUUCGCAUGGAGCUUUAAUCAAAGGAGCAAUCUGCUUUGGGAUGGGCCCGCGUCUGAUUAGCUAGUUGGUGAGGUAACGGCUCACCAAGGCGACGAUCAGUAGCCGAUCUGAGAGGAUGACCGGCCACACUGGAACUGAGACACGGUCCAGACUCCUACGGGAGGCAGCAGUGGGGAAUAUUGCACAAUGGGGGAAACCCUGAUGCAGCAACGCCGCGUGGAGGAAGAAGGUCUUCGGAUUGUAAACUCCUGUCUUCUGGGACGAAUAAUGACGGUACCAGAGGAGGAAGCCACGGCUAACUACGUG